GAUUAUGGCUCAGGAUGAACGCUGGCGGCGUGCUUAACACAUGCAAGUCGAACGGAGUUUUAACGGAAGUUUCGGAUGGAAGUUAGAACUUAGUGGCGGACGGGUGAGUAACGCGUGGGUAACCUGCCUCAUACAGGGGGAUAACAGUUAGAAAUGACUGCUAACACCGCAUAAUAUAGCGAAACCGCAUGAUUUUGCUAUCAAAUAUUUAUAGGUAUGAGAUGGGCCCGCGUCUGAUUAGCUAGUUGGUGGGGUAAAGCCUACCAAGGCGACGAUCAGUAGCCGGCUUGAGAGAGUGACCGGCCACAUUGGGACUGAGACACGGCCCAAACUCCUACGGGAGGCAGCAGUGGGGAAUAUUGGACAAUGGGGGAAACCCUGAUCCAGCGAACCGCCGCGUGAGUGAAGAAGUAUUUCGGUAUGUAAAGCUCUAUCAGCAGGGAAGAUAAUGACAGUACCUGACUAAGAAGCCCCGGCUAACUACGUGCCAGCAGCGGC
RNAcentral lists this ribosomal RNA (498 nucleotides) under uncultured bacterium. RNAcentral describes it as "bacterial SSU rRNA". It matches the Rfam family "Bacterial small subunit ribosomal RNA", at positions 15 to 518 of the family's 1533-position model. The record is from RNAcentral.